RNAcentral lists this ribosomal RNA (465 nucleotides) under uncultured bacterium. Its description in RNAcentral is "partial 16S ribosomal RNA". It matches the Rfam family "Bacterial small subunit ribosomal RNA", at positions 28 to 507 of the family's 1533-position model. The record is from RNAcentral.
GACAAACGCUGGCGGCGUGCUUAACACAUGCAAGUCGAACGGAAAGGCCCCUUUGGGGGUACUCGAGUGGCGGACGGGUGAGUAACACGUGAGUAACCUGCCCUUGACUUCGGGAUAACUUCAGGAAACUGGGGCUAAUACCGGAUAGGAAUCCUUGCUGCAUGGUGGGGGUUGGAAAGCUUCGGCGGUUUUGGAUGGACUCGCGGCUUAUCAGCUUGGUGGUGGGGUAGUGGCUUACCAAGGCUUUGACGGGUAGCCGGCCUGAGAGGGCGACCGGCCACAUUGGGACUGAGAUACGGCCCAGACUCCUACGGGAGGCAGCAGUGGGGAAUAUUGCACAAUGGGCGGAAGCCUGAUGCAGCAACGCCGCGGGCGGGAUGACGGCCUUCGGGUUGGAAACCGCUUUCAGCAGGGGCGAAGCUUGUGGUGACGGUACCUGCAGAAGAAGCACCGGCUAACUACGUG